Molecule: non-coding RNA, 45 nt
Filed under: Schistosoma margrebowiei
Lineage: Eukaryota; Metazoa; Platyhelminthes; Trematoda; Strigeidida; Schistosomatidae
Source: RNAcentral
AUCCAUCUGACGAGUCCCAAAUAGGACUAAACUCAUGUCUUGGAU